RNAcentral lists this ribosomal RNA (254 nucleotides) under uncultured bacterium. RNAcentral describes it as "partial 16S ribosomal RNA". It matches the Rfam family "Bacterial small subunit ribosomal RNA", at positions 524 to 776 of the family's 1533-position model. The record is from RNAcentral.
UACGUAGGGUGCGAGCGUUAAUCGGAAUUACUGGGCGUAAAGCGUGCGUAGACGGUUAUGUAAGUCAGAUGUGAAAGCCCCGGGCUCAACCUGGGAAUUGCAUUUGAGACUGCAUAGCUAGGGUGCGGAAGAGGGAAGCGGAAUUCCCGGUGUAGUGGUGAAAUGCGUAGAUAUCGGGAGGAACACCAGUGGCGAAGGCGACUAUCUGGCCUGUUUCUUGACGCUGAGGCGCGAAAGCUAGGGGAGCAAACGGG